AUUGAACGCUGGCGGCAGGCCUAACACAUGCAAGUCGAGCGGAUGAAGGGAGCUUGCUCCUGGAUUCAGCGGCGGACGGGUGAGUAAUGCCUAGGAAUCUGCCUGGUAGUGGGGGAUAACGUCCGGAAACGGGCGCUAAUACCGCAUACGUCCUGAGGGAGAAAGAGGGGGAACUUCGGAACUUACGCCAUCAGAAGAGCCUAGGACGGAGUUGCUAGUUGGUGGGGUAAAGGCCUACCAAGGCGACGAUCCGUAACUGGUCUGAGAGGAUGAUCAGUCACACUGGAACUGAGACACGGUCCCAACUCCUACGGGGGGCAGCAGUGGGGAAUAUUGGACAAAGGGCGAAAGCCUGAUCCAGGCAUGCCGCGUGUGUGAAGAAGGUCUUCCGAUUGUUAAGCACUUUAAGUUGGGAGAAAGGGCAAUAAGUUGAUACCUUGCUGUUUUGACGUUACCAACAGAAUAAGCUCCGGCUAACUUCGUG
This 484-nucleotide ribosomal RNA is filed under the name uncultured bacterium. RNAcentral describes it as "partial 16S ribosomal RNA". It matches the Rfam family "Bacterial small subunit ribosomal RNA", at positions 30 to 507 of the family's 1533-position model. The record is from RNAcentral.